GUAUUUUAUAUAGCACUUCUACGUGACAUGGGCAAUGGUCCAAAAUUUCUGAUUCUCACCAAAGCACUCUGAGCUCUUAGUUGCAAGAAACAAACUAUAAACUCCAAACUUGGUGUAAGCAUACACCUCAAAGACGCAACAGUAGUUCAUCUUAGUACUUCGAGGGUAGAUGGAGAUGUCGGGGGUUAGUGGGGACCAAAGCUGAACAACUGGGGAGAUUGCCUGAAC
Non-coding RNA from Pelobates cultripes (western spadefoot toad), 228 nucleotides. The record is from the annotation of a GenBank genome assembly. Lineage: Eukaryota; Metazoa; Chordata; Amphibia; Anura; Pelobatidae.